RNAcentral lists this ribosomal RNA (317 nucleotides) under uncultured soil bacterium. RNAcentral describes it as "bacterial SSU rRNA". It matches the Rfam family "Bacterial small subunit ribosomal RNA", at positions 26 to 345 of the family's 1533-position model. The record is from RNAcentral.
AGAUUGAACGCUGGCGGCAGGCCUAACACAUGCAAGUCGAGCGGUAGAGAGGUGCUUGCACCUCUUGAGAGCGGCGGACGGGUGAGUAAUGCCUAGGAAUCUGCCUAGUGGUGGGGGAUAACGUUCGGAAACGGACGCUAAUACCGCAUACGUCCUACGGGAGAGAGCGGGGGACCUUCGGGCCUCGCGCCAUUAGAUGAGCCUAGGUCGGAUUAGCUAGUUGGUGAGGUAAUGGCUCACCAAGGCGACGAUCCGUAACUGGUCUGAGAGAUGAUCAGUCACACUGGAACUGAGACACGGUCCAGACCUCCUACGGG